UAUGUAUGUAUGUAUGUAUGUAUGUAUGUAUGUAUGUAUGUAUGUAUGUAUGUAUGUAUGUAUGUAUGUAUGUAAUUGUGUAAAUGCCCCGUACUGCGCUUUGAUGACUUAAAAGUGCAGAAAUUGGUAUAAACGGGUCAAAACAGCAAAGUAGGAAAGAUAUGCAGAAGCUACCGUAAAUUACGGUACCACCGUAAUUUACGGUGGAGGGUAAAUCUUUACGGUGGUUCUUUACUGAUUUACGGUAGAACCAUAAACGUCCAGCGCCCACCGUAAAUUACGGUGACCACCGUAAUUUACGGUGGAGCCCAGCCAAAAUUGUCAAGUUAUGUAUAAUUUCACAUUUCGAAUCCGUUUUAAGCGUAUACUUAAUUAUGUGAAAAUUGAAGGAUUCUAACAUUAUUAUCUUGUUAAAUUUGUAUGUAUGUAGAUGUGAAUGUAUGUUUGUAUGUAAGUACGUAUGUAAGCAUGAUUUAGACACGUUGAGUGUUAACGUUUUUAAUGGUGUACCUUGAGAAUGAAAAGUAAUGCAGGUACAUUACUGAAGCCUCACCAGGAAAUGGAUACGCAGAUGAAAUGCUUAAAGUUUGAAAAAUGACGAAUAGUGAAGUGUACGUGAAUGAAUCUUGUUUAUAUAAUGUGUGCUAAUGUAUGAAUGAAUGUGGUGAGUGCAGGUUGUACGAAUCACGGAUUAACCUCACAAGGAGUAGCGAUUCGAAGACCGUGUCACAAGAUGGAUUGUACGGGAAUGUUUACAUAUGUAAUUUAGUGAUGAUAAGUUAUGUUUUUAUAUUUUAAAGUGGACUUUCAAGUAAGACAAAACGUUUAUAAUGAAUGAAAUUUUAGGGUACGUAUUUCCGCUGCGACUUAUGGUCAAAUGUGAUUUAGGGUCUUACAAGUUGGUAUCAGAGCCCUGGUUUGAGGGAAUCAGGUACGAGAAGGUAAGUACUUGAACUCAAACUUGUGUGCUCUUGAGAUAAGAAACCCGUACAAUCUAAGACUCGAUCAAGAUCCAAAGGUAAAGGCUAAUGUAAGUAUGUACCUAUAUAUACGUAUAAAGAACUGACGGUUUUGUAUGUACAAGGUAAGCAUAAGUGUUGGUAGAGGAUGAUCUGUGAAUGCAGUCUAGGAUGAAUACCAAGGCAGGCAAAGAGGUAAUAAGACAAAUAGGCAUAUGAGCCCAGGUAUGUAAAUUCAAUAUGUGGGUGUAAGAAAUGGUAAAAUUCAUUUAGGGAAGGAAAUUUUUUUUUAAAUGAAAGACAAUGAUUGUAUAGUAAUGAAGUACUGGAAAUGAUACACGAGCCGAAACCUAAGCCUACGGACAUAAGGUGACAAUUACAUGAAGGCACGAAACUACUAUGUGGAUUGUGUACCUGGCCAGUACACAAGAAACGUACGACGUUCGUGAGAUCAUGAUAAUUGUUACAGGUAUGUCCGGCAGAGUUGGGUAGCAGGCGGGCGUGUGGUUGAAACGGGAAGUAAGACUCUCGGGAAAUCGAGAGUACUAUGAAAGAAUGAAAAACAUGCCUGACAAGAAUGAAGAAUGUUGAAUCCGUAAUUAAGUACGGAUCAACAAGAUAUGAAUAAUAUGUUUGAAUCUGUGAGACGGAUUCAAGGAUGAAUGGUAUGGAUGCAAUGAUUGAAUCCUUAAGACGGAUUCAAAGAAUGAAAGAUGUGAAUGCACUGCUUGAAUCCGCGAGACGGAUUGAAGGAAUGAAAGGCAUGAAUGAAAUAUUUGAAUCCGUGAGACGGGUUCAAAUGAUGAAUAAUGCAUUCGAAUCCGUGAAACAGAAUUAAGGUAUAAAAGAUGAAACUAGUCUACAUAGGAAGUGUCGAUAGUCUGAUCGUGGUCGUGUCAAAUGAGUCAUAUGGGUAAAUGUGAAUUAAAUAAACAAAAGAAUGAUCGUAAUGAGCAUGUAGACCUAAGUUAUAAAACGAAAGAAGGAAGUUUUUGAACAAGUUAUGUGUUAAAUGUGUUAGAAAUCGACUCUUAGGAGUCGGAAUGAAUGACGGGCUAUGACCCAGAGAACGGUUUAAGUAUGAACAAGAAGGGUAAGUUUGUUAAGAAUACCAAAAUGAUGUAAUGAAUGUCUUUGUAAGUAAGCAUGAAUGGAAGGAAGCACGAAUGUGUACUUCAAUGCAUCUAUGAUAAGUAAGAAAAUUUGGUUUAACCUUAAAAGGUCAAACUGCAAAGGUUGACGAAAUAAGUAACUAAAAUGAAAGAAUUGCGUGUAAGAAAUGGAAUGUAAGAUAUGUUAUAGCAUGUACGCAGGAAAUAUGUAAAAGAAUUAUAGGUGACUAAUCACCUAGUAGACUCAGUAUUUGAAUGAGAUAUGCUAACCGCCAAUUUUGUAGGUGGUGAUGUUAGAAUUCCUAGUGUGAUAAAACCAAUUGAAUUGGUGGAAGGAUAUGCACGGCGCAUUACGCGGAUGAAGGAAAUCUGGCCUGGUAUGGCUAGUACUCGUGAAGAAGCGGAUAGAUCCGGUUGCGGAUCAUUGAAUUAUGCAACGAAAUCGAGGUUAGUAAAAUGUGUAUUUCAUGUUGGAUAGGUAUGAAUUGGUAGGUUGAGAAAGACCUACGAAAUGACUGAAUAGGGUAUGUAUGGUAUGGUAUGGGAAGUUUAAUUUUUAACAAUUGACAUAAGAAGAAAGAAUGUCAAUAAAAAGUAAAUUUCAAAAGUUUGAGUGGGAAAUUUUGAAUAUUUAUCACACUUUCGUAUGAUGAAUUUGCACGACAUGUUUACUUAGAUAGAUCAAGUAAUGCAGGAAGUGAAAGUUAUGGUAAUAUAAAACGUAUGAAGCGAUUGAAGGCAACAUAAAGGUAUGCAAAGUACAAGUAACUGUGGAAAACGUAGAAUGAUGUUAACAUGAGAGCUAGGCAAGUAGUUGUGACUAUGAAAUAGUAGUUUUGUUGUGGUAACAAAACAAUAAUAAAUAUUAUACAGUGCAUGUAGAGAAUGUAAUUUUAAGAAAUAAGAUGAAGGUAUUAGAUCCGUUAUGCACGGAUCAUAUGAAUGUAUGUAUGACUACAGGUGGAAGUAGUAUGAAUAUUGACCCGUUAUUAACAGGCUAAGGAAAUGAGAAUAUGUGUAAAGAUGAAGUAUGAAAAGUGUGGACUUGUUAGAAAGAAGUCAAUUAUAUGAAGGGUUAUGAGACGAGAAUAGAUAGUUACUUAGCAUUAUGACGUACCUAUCGAAAUUAAACAUAGAUGUGUAUGUAUAAAUUACGGAUUUAGAUCGUAUAGUCGAUGAAAAUAAUAUGAAUGUUGAGAUGAACAAAAAGGAUAUAUAAUGCACAUGAUAUAUGAGUAUUGGAAUGAUAAAUAAACCACUGGUUAUGAAGCGCGGUAGAAACUAGAAAUAAUCAGUGAGAGUGACACUAAUAAGGACCUUGAGGCGGGUUCUUGAAGAUAGAAGGUUGUCAUUAAAUGGGGUCAUGGUCUUGUUGAUGGGCCGAGAAAGAAAAGAUAGUUAUGUUAGAUGGAAGUGAGAAAGGUUUCGGGGACGAAACCUUCUUUAAGGGGGGUAGAUUUGUAACACCCCAAAAGUUGAAUAAUUAAAUUCGUUAGUAGGUUACCAUAUGUAAUAAAAUGACAUACAACAACCAAGUAAAUAAACCUAGUUAAAUGCCUAAUAAUAAGUUAGGGAAUGAAAUUUGUGGCAACUAUGAUAGUAUGGCAAACUUGAGGGGCUAAGAUGGCCAAAAAGGAAACUUAAUAUAUUAAAACAAAAAAAAUCACACACACACAAGGUGUGUGUGUGCGUACGGUCGCACAAGAGAAAGGGGGAAGAAGGGGUAAACCCUAACCACAAGAAAAUCCAGAAAUUGAAGGUGCUAUGGAGCAAGAAUCGAAUGCAUGAACUUAGUUCCUCUUUAAUCCAUGUACAUUGAACAUAAGGAGCGUGAUCUUGAUGAAAAGAUGGUAUAGGAAUCAUGUCAAAACGGACUCAAGCAUAAAAGGAUAACGGGUCAAGAAAAGGCGAGGAAUCGGAUACGAGCACGGACGCAUACGGUUGUACGAAUCACGGAUUAACCUCACAAGGAGUAGCGAUUCGAAGACCGUGUCACAAGAUGGAUUGUACGGGAAUGUUUACAUAUGUAAUUUAGUGAUGAUAAGUUAUGUUUUUAUAUUUUAAAGUGGACUUUCAAGUAAGACAAAACGUUUAUAAUGAAUGAAAUUUUAGGGUACGUAUUUCCGCUGCGA
Helianthus annuus (common sunflower) is the source of this 4203-nucleotide long non-coding RNA. RefSeq lists it as uncharacterized. The record is from RefSeq and is a predicted model, not a curated record. The transcript is spliced from 3 exons. NCBI's taxonomy places the organism in Eukaryota, Viridiplantae, Streptophyta, Magnoliopsida, Asterales, Asteraceae.